CCUACGGGUGGCUGCAGUAAGGAAUAUUGGUCAAUGGAGGCAACUCUGAACCAGCCAUGCCGCGUGCAGGAUGACGGCCCUAUGGGUUGUAAACUGCUUUUGAACAAGAGAAAACCCUCUUACGAGUAAGAGGCUGAUAGUAUUGUUAGAAUAAGCAUCGGCUAACUUCGUGCCAGCAGCCGCGGUAAGACGAAGGAUGCAAGCGUUAUCCGGAUUCAUUGGGUUUAAAGGGUGCGUAGGCGGAUUGGUAAGUCAGUGGUGAAAGCCGGCAGCUU
This 275-nucleotide ribosomal RNA is filed under the name uncultured bacterium. RNAcentral's name for it is "partial 16S ribosomal RNA". It matches the Rfam family "Bacterial small subunit ribosomal RNA", at positions 338 to 610 of the family's 1533-position model. The record is from RNAcentral.